This 284-nucleotide long non-coding RNA is filed under the name Brassica napus (rape). RNAcentral describes it as "long non-coding RNA (BNAP_LNC018330)". Lineage: Eukaryota; Viridiplantae; Streptophyta; Magnoliopsida; Brassicales; Brassicaceae. The record is from RNAcentral.
GUUUUGUUUUUAGGCUUUGAAAUGUUAUUCUUUGAACGAGUUUUCAUAGGAUGGAGAUUCGGGUUUGGUUGUGGAGCUGGAGCUGGUGGAGGUGGGGUUGGAGAUGGAGGGGAAGAGGAUGUAGAGGGUGAGGUAGAAGAGCCUUGGCUCGGUGAGGUCUAGGAAUUAAGGGAUGCGGUAGGUUGGGUAUGUGAUGAUGUUUGUGGUUGAGGUUCAGGAGCUUGUUGCGUCUGAAGCACCGGAGGAGUGUGGUGUUGUUGUGGUGAUAUCGGAGACGGAAUCGC